This 1409-nucleotide ribosomal RNA is filed under the name uncultured bacterium. RNAcentral describes it as "bacterial SSU rRNA". It matches the Rfam family "Bacterial small subunit ribosomal RNA". The record is from RNAcentral.
AGAGUUUGAUCCUGGCUCAGGAUGAACGCUGGCUACAGGCUUAACACAUGCAAGUCGAGGGGAAACGACGGGGAAGCUUGCUUCCCCGGGCGUCGACCGGCGCACGGGUGAGUAACGCGUAUCCAACCUGCCUCUGACUGAGGGAUAACCCGUCGAAAGUCGGCCUAAUACCUCAUGGCAUCGUCUGCGGGCAUCCAACGACGAUUAAAGAUUUCAUCGGUCAGGGAUGGGGAUGCGUCUGAUUAGCUUGUUGGCGGGGUAACGGCCCACCAAGGCGACGAUCAGUAGGGGUUCUGAGAGGAAGGUCCCCCACAUUGGAACUGAGACACGGUCCAAACUCCUACGGGAGGCAGCAGCUAAGAAUAUUCCGCAAUGGACGGAAGUCUGACGGAGCGACGCCGCGUGGAUGAAGAAGGCUGAAAAGUUGUAAAAUCCUUUUGUUGAUGAAGAAUAAGGGUGAGAGGGAAUGCUUAUCUGAUGACGGUAAUCGACGAAUAAGCCCCGGCUAAUUACGUGCCAGCAGCCGCGGUAACACGUAAGGGGCGAGCGUUGUUCGGAAUUAUUGGGCGUAAAGGGCAUGUAGGCGGUUAUGUAAGCCUGAUGUGAAAUCCUGGGGCUUAACCCUAGAAUAGCAUUGGGUACUGUAUAACUUGAAUUACGGAAGGGAAACUGGAAUUCCAAGUGUAGGGGUGGAAUCUGUAGAUAUUUGGAAGAACACCGGUGGCGAAGGCGGGUUUCUGGCCGAUAAUUGACGCUGAGAUGCGAAAGUGUGGGGAUCGAACAGGAUUAGAUACCCUGGUAGUCCACACCGUAAACGAUGUACACUAGGUGUUGGGGCAAGAGCUUCAGUGCCAAAGCAAACGCGAUAAGUGUACCGCCUGGGGAGUAUGCCCGCAAGGGUGAAACUCAAAGGAAUUGACGGGGGCCCGCACAAGCGGUGGAGCAUGUGGUUUAAUUCGAUGGUACGCGAGGAACCUUACCUGGGUUUGACAUCUAGUGGAAUGCCUUAGAGAUAAGGUAGUGUAGUUUACUACACCGCUAGACAGGUGCUGCAUGGCUGUCGUCAGCUCGUGCCGUGAGGUGUUGGGUUAAGUCCCGCAACGAGCGCAACCCCUACUGCCAGUUACUAACAGGUAAAGCUUGAGGACUCUGGCGGAACUGCCGAUGACAAAUCGGAGGAAGGUGGGGAUGACGUCAAGUCAUCAUGGCCCUUAUGUCCAGGGCUACACACGUGCUACAAUGGUUACUACAAAGCGAAGCGAAACUGUGAGGUGGAGCAAACCGCAAAAAAGUAAUCGUAGUUCGGAUUGAAGUCUGAAACUCGACUUCAUGAAGUUGGAAUCGCUAGUAAUCGCGCAUCAGCACGGCGCGGUGAAUACGUUCCCGGGCCUUUACACACCGCCCGUCAA